GCCUCGGUCUAAUGGCUUAGGACGUUCGUACGGAAUACGAGAGAUCCGGGUUCGACUCCCGGCUGAGGUA
This 70-nucleotide transfer RNA is filed under the name Mycetomoellerius zeteki. RNAcentral describes it as "Trachymyrmex zeteki tRNA". It matches the Rfam family "tRNA". From Rfam's summary of the family: Transfer RNA (tRNA) molecules are approximately 80 nucleotides in length. Their secondary structure includes four short double-helical elements and three loops (D, anti-codon, and T loops). Further hydrogen bonds mediate the characteristic L-shaped molecular structure. tRNAs have two regions of fundamental functional importance: the anti-codon, which is responsible for specific mRNA codon recognition, and the 3' end, to which the tRNAs corresponding amino acid is attached (by aminoacyl-tRNA synthetases). tRNAs cope with the degeneracy of the genetic code in two manners: having more than one tRNA (with a specific anti-codon) for a particular amino acid; and 'wobble' base-pairing, i.e. permitting non-standard base-pairing at the 3rd anti-codon position. The record is from Rfam by way of RNAcentral. Lineage: Eukaryota; Metazoa; Arthropoda; Insecta; Hymenoptera; Formicidae.